UCCCCAGUUUUGUAUAUCAGAUUUGCUGCUCUAAACUAAAAUAUUGUUGGUUCUGUGUUUAGCUGCCCUCCUAUAGGUUCUGAUGGACUUUUUCCAGCCACUUCUACUGAAUUCAGUAGUUUUGAAUUGUUCUGUAAACAGAUGAAGUCAAUAAUGCACUACAGGUUCCAACUGGAAGAAAGUAUAGUUAAUCAAGUUUUCAAGAACAGAAAGUAAUUUUAAUUGGUUGGUAAUAAAAAAAAGCUAAAGAUUUUAGGAAACUAUUACUAAAACUGCUUUAUUGUUCUAUCUUGUAUGUUGUGUUAUGUGUGUAUUCAUAUUGUAUGUCUACAUGGGAAAAUUUACUUUGAGCUCUGUCUUAAUUGGUUUAUCAAGGAAGGAUUGCUCAUAAAUUUAAUAGCUAAAAUUAAUUGAAGAUACAUUUGAUUCAUCUGACCUGAAUCUCUUUGUCAGAUGCUUUAAAUUUGUUGAUAGAAAGGAACUAAAAAAUGUUUUAUGUUUCUGUUUGUUGUUUAAACAAGCCACAUCAUGUUAGAUAUUUAAGAUAUAUUUAAAUACAUGUAUUCUUAAAAUUUAUAGAAGGCAUUGGACCUACAGUAAAUAUUUUAUAGGCUAUUAUUUAAUGGUUAAAACCACUUGUUAAUAUUCCGUUUGACAUUGUCAGUGGGCAUUCAGGCAAGCCUGACUUGCUCCCACAUUUCUCUAUUCUCUUUAAGAUGGGACACUGACUCUGUCCUGAGGGAUUCCUCAGGAUGUAGUUUGAUUUUUAGAUCUUAUGAAAGGAGUGACUAACAUGUUCUGUGUAACAGCAUAGCCAAAAUGAGAGCUUAAAUCAUAAUUUCAUGGCUGGACUUACUUCACCAUGGGAUCCCAAAUUCCCUUGGGCUAGAUGGUGAAAGUGGCAUCUUAAGUUUAAAAGUGACUGUAUUUGAUUGCAUUAAGUUUUAAGUUGGUCAUGUAGGAGGCACUAAUUGUUAAAGUGAUCAUAUCAAUAGAAUUAAUAUAAUUAAAGAGGAGUAAAUGCUUUAACAUGGGAAGCAGUCCAUACAGCACACUCAUAGAAUGGCAAUUGCUCUAAGUAAAGCUCAGUGACCUCAGAGUCAUCCCUAAAGGCAUUCUGAUCUGGCUAAAAAGCCCACAAGAGCAUUUCAGGCAUGGAAAGUCAGGACACUUGUGCGAAAAGGUGUGUACCUACAGGGAGAGUCUCCCUGGGUGAGACUCCUGUGGAAAGAAGUGGUCAUCAAAGAAGGAUGUACUCUCUUCAAAGGGAGAACUUUCACUUUGCUUACGUCCUUCUCUAAAUAUUGACUGAGUUUGUGGAUUCAGAAGGCUUCCAUAGCCUAGAGAGCUCAUGUCAAGAGCCUUGGGUGAUCACUGACAUCACACAAAAGAGUGUGAAUUGUUAAAUUAACCAUAGGAGUCACUGUGCACUAACUUCCCAUGCAGGACCUCAAGACUAUGCUUAAAAAAACAGAGGGGAGAGUAUGAUACCCCCACUAUUAGUGUAUUAACUUUGCUCCUUUCACCAUAAAGUUCUUAUAGGUCUCACCCCCUGGAGAGCCACCAGCAUUGAAACACUGGAGACCUCUCACAGAGAUCACUCUGCAGCCUGUGUGGAUAGCAGCCUGAAAUGCCAAACCCUGGACCCAGUCUCUGAAAGCUCACCCUCUGACAAGCCAACUUCAGCGCCUUUCCCUGAACAAGCCAUUCACAGAAAGAUCCUCUUCAGAUCAGCUACAGCUUAAAUGGAAGGGACCUUACCAGGUGCUACUGAACAUGACUACCUCAGUAAAAUUAGGAUUAAAUGUCUACCUCUCAAGUCCGAACAGGUGUACUCAAAAGACAUGCCUGAUUAUUCCUGUAAGCCAGAGAUCUUAAGCAAAAAGAAAAGUAAAGCCUUUGCUUUCCUCACAUCAAGAGUGCUGCACCUGAAGGCAGGCAUGGUGUACCUGCCUCUUUUGAUUCUCUGUUAUUAAUAAUAAAACUCCUAAUGUGUUCUUCUA
Lepus europaeus (European hare) is the source of this 2003-nucleotide long non-coding RNA. RefSeq lists it as uncharacterized. The record is from RefSeq and is a predicted model, not a curated record. NCBI's taxonomy places the organism in Eukaryota, Metazoa, Chordata, Mammalia, Lagomorpha, Leporidae. The transcript is spliced from 2 exons.